RNAcentral lists this unclassified non-coding RNA (387 nucleotides) under soil metagenome. Its description in RNAcentral is "partial contains 5.8S ribosomal RNA, internal transcribed spacer 2, and large subunit ribosomal RNA". The stretch from base 1 to 120 matches the Rfam family "5.8S ribosomal RNA", at positions 35 to 154 of the family's 154-position model. The record is from RNAcentral.
GAUGAAGAACGUAGCGAAAUGCGAUACGUAAUGUGAAUUGCAGAAUUCAGUGAAUCAUCGAAUCUUUGAACGCACAUUGCACUCCUUGGUAUUCCGAGGAGUAUGCCUGUUUCAGUAUCAUGAGCACCCUCCCGCCUAACCUUUGGGUUUUGGCGAGGAAUUGGAAUGCGCCGACUCUUCACAGGGUUGGCACUUCUAAAAUGUAGUUCUUGACUGUCACCUAAUACAGCAGUUUGGCCUAAUAGUUUUGGCAUUUAUUGUCAGAUCUUUGGCUAACAUUUGCUCCAGGAGACCAGCCUUGAUAAAUACAGAAAAACUCAUUCAAAUUUUGAUCUGAAAUCAGGUAGGGCUACCCGCUGAACUUAAGCAUAUCAAUAAGCGGAGGAA